Molecule: transfer RNA, 86 nt
Filed under: Alphaproteobacteria bacterium
Lineage: Bacteria; Pseudomonadati; Pseudomonadota; Alphaproteobacteria
Description: tRNA-Tyr
Rfam family: tRNA
About the family: Transfer RNA (tRNA) molecules are approximately 80 nucleotides in length. Their secondary structure includes four short double-helical elements and three loops (D, anti-codon, and T loops).
Source: RNAcentral
GGAGGGGUGGCCGAGUGGUUAAAGGCAGCAGACUGUAAAUCUGCCCGCGUUAGCGUACACAGGUUCGAAUCCUGUCCCCUCCACCA